GCACCUGUAUGUAUGUCUUGUCAUUUUGUCCGUUUGCAUGUAUCUCUGAACUCUUUGUGCCUAUUGUGCUCUAUGUGUUUGUGUUGUUCUUGUAGGAGUAAUUUGUUAUAUGUUCCCUAAGUGUGAAGGCUUUCAUUUAUAUUUAUUUCUGCUUAUUCAUUUUUCAGCCAACUGCAGCUAGACCUGAAUUGGAAAAGGACCUUCCCAAGACACCAUGUUUAAUAGGCUUUGGGGCAUCAAGGUUGACGGCAACCAGAUAUAUGUUGUCAAUUGAUGGUGUUGUUGUCACUGACCAUAUCGCAACAUUUACUACUGGGCUGGCUAUGCUGCUGGCCUCCUACUACAACUUCAAUAUAAUGUACCCUGUUGAUUCUGCAUCGACACUGGAGUUCAUUCAAAGAUGCUUUGUUGGCAUCAAUCCAGAGCGGGGCAGCAAGAUUGAAGUAAAGAAGCACUGCAAGAGACGCACCCAAGUCCAUCCCAGAGUUCUGUCCCUGAUUAAUGCUAUUGCUGAUGUAGAGUGGAGGUGCUAAAUCCACAAGGUAAUAUUCAUUACUUCUGAAAACAUUUUUAAUCUUUAAUAAUCUUUUGACUGCUCCCAUUAGGGGUCGCUACAGCGAAUCGCUGUUCUCCAACGCGCUUGGUCUUCUGCGUCUUCCUGUGUCACGCCCACCACUUGCAUGCCUCCCUUCACAGCAUCCAUAAAUCUUCUCUUUGGUCUCCCUCUCUUCCUCCUGCUGGGUAGAUCCUUGUCCAGCAUCCUCCUCCCCACAUACUCCUUGUCUCUCCUCCUGACAUGUCCAAAC
Eriocheir sinensis (Chinese mitten crab) is the source of this 806-nucleotide long non-coding RNA. RefSeq lists it as uncharacterized. The transcript has 3 exons. Lineage: Eukaryota; Metazoa; Arthropoda; Malacostraca; Decapoda; Varunidae. The record is from RefSeq and is a predicted model, not a curated record.